Molecule: ribosomal RNA, 490 nt
Filed under: Kuraishia molischiana
Lineage: Eukaryota; Fungi; Ascomycota; Pichiomycetes; Pichiales; Pichiaceae
Description: eukaryotic LSU rRNA
Rfam family: Eukaryotic large subunit ribosomal RNA
Source: RNAcentral
AAGAAGGUAUACUUUAGUUUGGCCCCCGUCUAUGUUCCUUGGAACAGGACGUCAUAGAGGGUGAGAAUCCCGUGCGAUGGGGUGUCCAUUCUUUGUAAGUUUCCUUCGACGAGUCGAGUUGUUUGGGAAUGCAGCUCUAAGUGGGUGGUAAAUUCCAUCUAAAGCUAAAUAUUGGCGAGAGACCGAUAGCGCACAAGUACAGUGAUGGAAAGAUGAAAAGAACUUUGAAAAGAGAGUGAAAAAGUACGUGAAAUUGUUGAAAGGGAAGGGUAUUUGAUCAGACUUGGUAUUAGAAUAUGGCAGCUCUCGGGUCGUCCUCUAUUCUUUUGCUGGGCCAGCAUCGGUUCGGAUGGCAAGAUACUUACGUUUGAAUGUGCCUCCUUGGAGUGUUAUAGCUUUCGUAGAUAUUGCCUGUCUGGACCGAGGACUGCGUCUUUUGACUAGGAUGCUGGCGUAAUGAUUAAAUACCGCCCGUCUUGAAACACGGACC